RNAcentral lists this long non-coding RNA (2320 nucleotides) under Sus scrofa (pig). RNAcentral's name for it is "lncRNA (ENSSSCG00040025980.1, ENSSSCG00065018682.1)". Lineage: Eukaryota; Metazoa; Chordata; Mammalia; Artiodactyla; Suidae. The record is from RNAcentral.
GCUCAGAUCUGGCAUUGCUGUGGCUGUGGUGUAGGCCGGCAGCUGCAGCUCCGAUUCCAUCCUUAGCCUGGGAACUUCCAUAUGUCAGAGUGAGGCCCUGAAAGAAAACAAAAAACCCCAAACAAUUAUGUGAUAUAUUACUUAAGGAAAAUUUCAUGGUAAAUCUAUAAAGAAGAAUUAGGAUAGUAGUUUUCUCUGAGGCUUGUAGGGGAAGCUCAGCUUGAGAAGGUGCCCAAAGGGAGCUUCACUAGUAAGAGUAAUAUACCUGUUAUGAGGUUGUGUAUGAACUCAUGCAUGUUGAUUUUAUAAUGAUUUAUGAUAUAUGGAUUAUGCAUAUUCUUUAGUAGCUAUCACUAUUUCAUAAAAUAAACACAAUUUUAGAUAUUUAAAAAAAUUAAUUUAUCAAAAAACUGCAUUGAUGUAUAGUUGACUUACAAUAUUAUAUUAGUUUCAGAAGUAUAGCUUAGUGAGUCAGCAUUUUUAUAGAUUAUGCUCCAUUAAAAGUUAUAACAGGGGAGUUCCCAUUGUGGCACAGCCGAAGCGAAUCUGACUAGCAACCUCGAGGAUGCAGGUUCGAUUCCUCAGUGGGUCAGGGAUCUGGUGUUGCCAUGAGCUGUGGUGUAGGUCACAGACAUGGCUCGCAUCCCCCGUUACUGUGGCUGUGGUGACUGUGGCAGCUGCAGCUCCGAUUUUUGUCCCCUAGCCUGGGAACCUCCAUAUGCUGUGGGUGGGGCUCUAAAAGGCAAACAUAAUUAAGUAAAUAAUUAAAAUCAUUUAUUAAAAGAAAGUUAUAACAAGGUAAUGGAAAGUUCCCUGUGCUAUCCUUGCUGCUUAUCUAUUUUAUACAAGGGUGUUUGUAUCUCUUAAUUCCCUUCCCCUAAAUUGUCUGUUCCUCCUUGUCUCUUACUUUUGGUAACUACUAGUUUGUCCUCUACAUCCGUGAGUUUCUGUUUUGCAUAUACAUUCAUUUGUACUAUUUUUUUAGAUUCCACAUACAUGAACAUCAUGCAUUUGCUGGGCCAGACUUGGGUCACUUGCUUGCGUCGUCCUGCCUGUCUCCAUGGAACACCUUCCCCAAAGUCAGAUGGUUCCUCCUGCCUGAAGAAGGAAGGGAUGCGAUGCUGGGGAUACAGACACCAUCAAGCCCCACCUCACCUUCCAUUCUUCUCUCCUGACCCGGAAAGAAUCAGGACCUCCCUGUCGGGCCGCUCCCUUGGCAUAUGGAGGUUCCCAGACUAGGGGUCGAAUCAGAGCAGCAGCUACCAGUCCACACCACCGCCACAGCAACUGGGGAUCCAAGCUGCGUCUGCGACCUACAUCACAACUCAUGGCAACGCCGGAUGCUUAACCCACUGAGCAAGGGCAGGGAUUGAAUCCACAUCCUCAUGAAUCCUAGUCAGGUUUGUUACUGUUGAACCACGACAGGACCUCCUACAGCCCCAACUUUAAUACUUGAAAGCCAUCUCUGAACAUGCCCUGAACGUGCUCUAAAUGUGCUCUGAGAGCCUCAGUUUGGGGCUAAUCUGAGGUGGGAGGCCCAGGACAUAGCUCUGUUGCCUGGAACCUUCCAUGUUCGGAAUUGGCCAGGUCUUGGUCCCAUCAGAGAAGUCCUCCAGGGCUGGAUGGCCAAGGGCCUUGAUUUCUUGUUCUGAUCUGCAGGACAAAUAGUCCUCUGAGGAGUCUUUCCCUUCUGUGGCCACCAUGAGCCGACCCUGCUUUUUCUGACACCUCCCCUCCCCUGCUUCUGGAUUUCCGGCUGCUGGCGUGGACUUUUCCAACCUCGAGCUGAGGUUUAGCUCCAUGACUGGGGAGUUUAUAGCCUGAUUCAGUGCAGCUGCUAUCUCUUGUUCUGAGAUUUGGGGCAAGGUCUGAUCAGGCUAUCUGCUCCUCUUGGGUGCAAAUUUCCAAACACCCCAAACACCAUCCAUCUCCAUAGUAACAGACUCACCCCAGUGUAUGUGGGGCUUAGGGCAAGAGACAGAGGGAGCCCUGCAUACAUCAUGUCUAAAUAGUAAGAAGCAAUGCAGCAAACCCGUAAAUUUAUCUUUCUAACAAAAACGUUUUAAAAUAUGUGUAAAGCCGAGUUCCUGUUGUGGCUCAGUGGUUAAUGAAUCUGACUAGCAUCCAUGAGGACGUGGGUUCAAUCCCUGGCCUCGCUCACUGGGUUAAGGAUAUGGCCUUGCCAGGAGCUGUGGUGUAGCUCGGAUCCCACGUUGCCGUGGCUGUGGCGUAGGUCAGUGGUUACAGCUCCGAUUUGACCCCUAGCCUGAGAACCUCCAGGGUGCAGCUUGAAAAAGCAAAAAAAUAAAAUAAAAUGUGU